RNAcentral lists this ribosomal RNA (492 nucleotides) under uncultured bacterium. RNAcentral's name for it is "partial 16S ribosomal RNA". It matches the Rfam family "Bacterial small subunit ribosomal RNA", at positions 29 to 507 of the family's 1533-position model. The record is from RNAcentral.
AGUGAACGCUGGCGGUAGGCCUAACACAUGCAAGUCGAACGGCCGCACAGUAAGAGCUUGCUCUUACGGGUGGCGAGUGGCGGACGGGUGACGAAUACAUCGGAAUCUACUUUUUCGUGGGGGAUAACGUAGGGAAACUUACGCUAAUACCGCAUACGACCUACGGGUGAAAGCAGUGGAUCUUCGGACCUUGCGCGAUUGAAUGAGCCGAUGUCGGAUUAGCUAGUUGGCGAGGUAAAGGCCCACCAAGGCGACGAUCCGUAGCUGGUCUGAGAGGAUGAUCAGCCACACUGGAACUGAGACACGGUCCAGACUCCUACGGGAGGCAGCAGUGGGGAAUAUUGGACAAUGGGCGCAAGCCUGAUCCAGCCAUACCGCGUGGGUGAAGAAGGCCUUCGGGUUGUAAAGCCCUUUUGUUGGGAAAGAAAAGCAGCAGGUUAAAACCCCGCUGUUCUGACGGUACCCAAAGAAUAAGCACCGGCUAACUUCGUG